UACGUUCAUCUCAACACAUCGUUGAGACGCAAGUAAGCAAGUUAAGUGCUGAAGGAACGGGAA
Molecule: non-coding RNA, 63 nt
Submitted as: unclassified sequences
Source: Rfam